This 549-nucleotide ribosomal RNA is filed under the name Alternaria japonica. RNAcentral describes it as "eukaryotic LSU rRNA". The record is from RNAcentral. Lineage: Eukaryota; Fungi; Ascomycota; Dothideomycetes; Pleosporales; Pleosporaceae.
GGGGUUAUUUAAAAAGCGUGGAGACGGGCUGGAACCCCUCGGGGUUACAGCCUUGCUGAAGUAUUCCCCCUUGUCUUUUGCGUACUUCUUGAUUCCUUGGGGGGUUCGCCCACCACUGGCCCAAACAUAAACCUUUUGAAAUUGGGUCUCCGCGUCAGCAAGAGACUAGACGCUACACAUUUCGCCAACGUAGCUCUUACAAUCUGACGCUCGAACAGGAAUGCAGCGAAAUAAUAUAAGUAGGGCGAUGUGCAGAAUUCGAUGCAACGACGCACUGUUGACCGCACAUCGCGCUAUUUGUCAUUCCAAAGUGCGUGCCUGUUCGAGCGCCAUUUGUACACACAAGCUGUGCUUGGUGGUGGGCGUCAUGUCUCUAGCUUUGCUGGAGGCUCGCCCUAAAGUAUUUGGUAGCCGCCCUACUGGUUCGGAGCCCAAAAAAAGCCGCACUCUCUAUCAGCAAAGGUCUAGAAUCCUUUACGCCUUUUUUCCCCUUUUGGACCCCGGACCGGGUGGUAUACGCGCAGAACUCAUCCUAGGUUCACCCGCAGA